Syngnathus acus (greater pipefish) is the source of this 115-nucleotide long non-coding RNA. RefSeq lists it as uncharacterized. The record is from RefSeq and is a predicted model, not a curated record. The transcript has 3 exons. Lineage: Eukaryota; Metazoa; Chordata; Actinopteri; Syngnathiformes; Syngnathidae.
GGAAAGGAGCGAGGCCGCAGCCCAGAUGGAUAGAGAAGCAGUAGGCGGAGAACCAGAGGAGCGUGAGAAGAUGCUGAUCAGGAAGGACACUUGGAGAUAAAACCGGUAGAGGUGC